This 447-nucleotide long non-coding RNA is filed under the name Cricetulus griseus (Chinese hamster). Its description in RNAcentral is "lncRNA (ENSCGRG00015043304.1)". Lineage: Eukaryota; Metazoa; Chordata; Mammalia; Rodentia; Cricetidae. The record is from RNAcentral.
UGAAAGUAACCUCAAUAAACUCACUGGUUCACUAAGCUCAACUUGAAUGGAAUCAUGUUUUAUUCUGUUGUUUGUUCCUUGUCUCUGGUUCUGAACAGUUUCAAAUUCUUGAUUUACGGGUUCAUUUUUGGAUCAUGGCAGCCUCCCUGCUGCAACCCCCAUAGUUUCCCUUCAAUAAACAAGGCCGGAUGAGAUCACAGCUGAGGAAGCCUGAUGGAGUACAGGUGCCUGAAGAGGCCAGAAGAGGGCAUCGGAUUCCCUGGAAUGAGAGUCACAGGCUAUUGUGAGCAACCUGAUGUGGAUCCCGGGUCACAAACUCAGGUUUUAGUCCACGAUUGAGGCUGCUGGCCUGUGGUGGCACAGUACAACGUGGAAGAAGCUCAAGGUAGCGGCUUGAGGAAGAGGAGGCCUGUGUACCUCCGGGUACCCGGGAACUAAAAAGCCAAG